RNAcentral lists this ribosomal RNA (311 nucleotides) under uncultured Pezizomycotina. RNAcentral's name for it is "SSU rRNA". It matches the Rfam family "Eukaryotic small subunit ribosomal RNA", at positions 39 to 352 of the family's 1831-position model. Lineage: Eukaryota; Fungi; Ascomycota. The record is from RNAcentral.
AAAGAUUAAGCCAUGCAUGUCUAAGUAUAAGCAAUCUAUACAGUGAAACUGCGAAUGGCUCAUUAAAUCAGUUAUCGUUUAUUUGAUAGUACCUUACUACUUGGAUAACCGUGGUAGUUCUAGAGCUAAUACAUGCUAAAAACCCCGACCUCUGGAAGGGGUGUAUUUAUUAGGUAAAAAACCAACGCCCUUCGGGGCUCCUUGGUGAAUCAUAAUAACUUAACGAAUCGCAUGGCCUUGCGCCGGCGAUGGUUCAUUCAAAUUUCUGCCCUAUCAACUUUCGAUGGUAGGAUAGUGGCCUACCAUGGUGG